CACCGCGGUUAUACGAGAGGCCCCAGUUGAUAGAUACGGCGUAAAGAGUGGUUAAGGAAUACACCGAACUAAAGCCGAAGACCCCCUAGGCUGUCACACGCACCUGGGGGCACGAAGCCCUGUCACGAAAGUAGCUUUAUUCAAGCCCGCCCGACCCCACGACAGCUGAGACA
Molecule: ribosomal RNA, 173 nt
Filed under: Platytroctes apus (legless searsid)
Lineage: Eukaryota; Metazoa; Chordata; Actinopteri; Alepocephaliformes; Platytroctidae
Description: partial 12S rRNA
Source: RNAcentral